Molecule: ribosomal RNA, 427 nt
Filed under: uncultured bacterium
Lineage: Bacteria
Description: bacterial SSU rRNA
Rfam family: Bacterial small subunit ribosomal RNA
Source: RNAcentral
GAAUAUUGCACAAUGGGCGCAAGCCUGACGACGCAACGCCGCGUGGAGGAUGAAGAUCUUCGGGUCGUAAACUCCUUUCGAUCGAGACGAAUUUCCCGGGGGUGAACAAUCCCCGGGGUUGACGGUACCGAGAGAAGAAGCCCCGGCUAACUCCGUGCCAGCAGCCGCGGUAAGACGGGGGGGGCAAGCGUUGUUCGGAAUUACUGGGCGUAAAGGGCUCGUAGGCGGCCAACUAAGUCGGACGUGAAAUCCCUCGGCUCAACCGGGGAACUGCGUCCGAUACUGGAUGGCUUGAGUCCGGGAGAGGGAUGCGGAAUUCCAGGUGUAGCGGUGAAAUGCGUAGAUAUCUGGAGGAACACCGGUGGCGAAGGCGGCAUCCUGGACCGGCACUGACGCUGAGUGAGCGAAAGCCAGGGGAGCAAACGGG